AUGGCUGAACCCAACUCAUACGAGGAGCAGCGCAGGAGGCACGUGGAGGAGAACAAGCGGAAGCUGGGCGAGCUGCGCCUGCACCACCUCUCCGCCGCCGUCCGCGACGCCGCCGUCAAGCCCAUGCCGACCAAGCAGCUGAAGCUGCGGAAGGCUGCCGCGCCGCCGGCGCCGACCCGGCGGUCCGGACGCGUAGCCAGUCUUCCCAGGCAACCUGAUUACCGCAACAUCACAUUACCACCUGAUCUAGUGUACGUGGCUGAGGAAGCGAGGGCCUACGCCUUGACCAAGGCCAAAGAGCUCAAGAACCAGUUGUGCUCUGACCACCCCUCUUUCAUCAAGCCCAUCUCCAAUUAUGCUGCCACAAGUUCCUGGCUGAACAUCCGGUCACAGGUCAAUAAGAGGUAUCUGCCGUGGAGUGAUGAGAUGAUCUUUCUGGUGGAUGAAGAGGAUGGCGAGUUUCAGAUGCCUUACUAUGCACUAAGGGGUUCCUUUGGCACUGGAUGGAAAUGGUUCGCCAUCGGUCACAAGCUGGCUGAUGGUGAUUGCUUGGUGUUCCAGCUAGUUGAGAAGACAAAGUUCAAGGUCUACAUAAUCAGAGGAAGUUCCUACUACGAAAAGGACCACUGUUGA
This 633-nucleotide ribosomal RNA is filed under the name Triticum aestivum (bread wheat). RNAcentral describes it as "partial small subunit ribosomal RNA". Lineage: Eukaryota; Viridiplantae; Streptophyta; Magnoliopsida; Poales; Poaceae. The record is from RNAcentral.